CCCACAUCUGUUCCUUCAUUCCCUCCCAAAUUAUUCCCUAAUUCCCUCCCAAAUUAUAUAUCAAAAUUUUGAGAGACGGACACUAAAUCAGAAAUUGAUUUCCCUUCCUCUGAAAUUGGAAAAUAUCUACCACCGCCAAUCAACCGUAACCACCUAUGCUACCGUCAGAGGAAAAAUAUGACCACCAUAACCGGAUAUUGUGGGCCACCACCACCACUGAGAUGUCUAGCUAGAUGGACUCACUCUGUCUCGCCGAAGUCUGUAGUCCUCUUUCUCAAUCUCUCCAGUGAGUUCGAACUCCAGUCAAACUUGCGUUCCAGCUAGCUCUCUUGUCUUCGUAUUACAUUUGUGAGUCAUCUUCGGCCAAACUUGAAGAAAAUGCCAGUUUUACUUUGAGGAGCCAGAAACAAAGGCUAUUUCAAUUUUGGUUUCUCUACUUUCUUCUCCAAAUUCUCUUCUUUGUCGUCAAUUUCCAUUGACGUGAGUCCAUCGUCGCGACUCGAGACUGAGGUCAUGUCUCGGCAAAAGAGCUUGACGAGACAUAAAAUGCAAAGCAAUUCAUGGUUCUGAGACCAGAGACAUUAGCUUCACAAUGACGGAGGCAAAAACAAAGGCUAAGAACGUGGAGAAACAAAGGCAUUCUGCGCUCGGCAGUUAUCUGCAGUUUUGCUAGCUGCUGCUGCUACUUCUUCCCCUUGUUUUGGUUGCAUUCAUGUGCAGGUUUUUUGCAGUUGUAGUGCUGGGUUUUUAGCCUCUUUUUGGUGGCUGGUUUUAAUGUACAACUUGUGCAAUUGGUUUUUGUUUACCAAAAAACCUGCAUUGUUUUUGUGAUGCUGGUCAUUUUUUGUUUAGUCCUCUUUGAGGGUGGUUAGAUGGUUCUUAUGGAUUGUAAAUUUGUGACUCUUUUGUUGUUUU
Molecule: long non-coding RNA, 915 nt
Organism: Pistacia vera
Lineage: Eukaryota; Viridiplantae; Streptophyta; Magnoliopsida; Sapindales; Anacardiaceae
Exons: 3
Source: RefSeq, a predicted model, not a curated record